GCGUGCGCAAGUGGUGGCAGACGCCCCGUGCGCGUCCCCGCCUCCGCGAAGACGCCUGCGUGCGCGCGUCCGGCGGCCUCCCGGUUCUUAUAGCGCCGCAGGCGGCGGUUGCGCGGGGACGGUAGGACGGUAGGAUGGCGGACGUGAGACUCGUGGUGUUGGGGCUCGUGCUACUGAGCACCCAGGGCGGCUCUGGGGCAGGGAGCAGGAUCUGGACCUCGAUAGAUGAUGUUGGCUCCAAAACACGCCUCACCUGUGCCCUGAAUCACAGCGCCACUGAGAUCGCGGGCCACCGCUGGGAGAAGGGGGGCAAGGUGCUAAAGGAGGAUGCGCUGCCUGACCUGAGGACAGAGUUUGAGGUGGACUCAGACGACCGCUCAGGCCAGUACUCCUGCAUCUUCCUGCCAGAGCACGCGGGCCGCACAGACCUGGAAGUGAAGGGGCCACCUAAUGUCAAGGCUGUGAAGAAGUCAGAGCACGCUACCGAGGGGGAGACCGUGGUGCUGGCCUGCAAGUCGGACUCCUUCCCGCCAGUCACCGAGUGGCUAUGGUACAAGAUGAGUGACUCUGGGGACCAGGUCAUCGCCAACAGCUCCCAGAACAAGUUCUUCGUGGUCUCCUCGGAGACCAAGACAGAGCUGCACAUCCCAGACCUGGACCUGAAGGAGGACCCGGGCAAGUACGCGUGCAAUGGCACCAGCUCUGAGGGCACCGGCCAGGCGGUCAUCGUGCUGCGUGUGCGCAACCGCUUUGCCGCCCUCUGGCCCUUCCUGGGCAUCGUGGCUGAGGUGCUUGUGCUGGUCACCGUCAUCUUCAUCUAUGAGAAGCGGCGGAAGCCGGAUGAGGUCCUGGAUGGUGAGCUGGCCCUAUGUGCCUUCUGCUCCUCUUCUGGGUGGGGACACCAUGGGGCUAGGGCGGCGGCCUGGAGUGUGGGGCUGAGGGUCAGCCCCCUCGGCCACUGUCCCGGAGACUCCCGGAGGCCCUGCCCCUUCCCUGGCUGAGGGUCUGUGGCCACACAGCCUCACUUGCCUUCUCUCCUCCCUCCUGGGCUGCCAGUGGGCCUCCUCCAUGGUGAGUGCCCUUGUGUGGCUGCUUGGGGUCCAGGGCUGUGGUGCCAAGCAAGCCCAGACCUUGCAUGAUGGGGCAACUGGGACCGGGGCAUCUGCCUGCGGGCUGGGGUUGGGGACACAGACAGCCCUCCCAGGUGCCCUUCAUGCUGCUACCCUGGAGAGCUCACUUGAGGGUGCCUGUCACAGGGGUGUGCCGGAUCCCCACGUGUUCGAUGGGCAGCAUAGGGCCUGCUCUGCUAACUCCCCCCUCCUCUUUUGCAUGUGCUGCCCCUUGCACAGAUGAGGACACCGGCUCUGCUCCACUGAAGAGCAGUGGACACCACGUGAAUGACAAAGGCAAGAACGUUCGCCAGAGAAAUGCCAGCUGAGAGGUGCUGAGCAUGAGUCUGCAUGGGCACGCCAGCCUGUCUGGAGGAGCCUGGUGUUCCCCUGGUGUUUGCACAACCCCACGUUCCUUCCUCUUAAGGAAACCCGCCCAGCAAAAGCAAACCACCUUGUGUGUUCAAAUCACACAUCUUCUCUUCUUUUUCACAAAACGAAGCUAGGGUUUUCUAUGUGUAGAAUCCUGUCCCUCGGGGGUUUUGCUUCCCUUUUUAAACAUUUCACAAGCACCUCAGGGCAGUUGUGAGGCUCCUGUGAUGUUCCUGCUGUGCCCUGGCCCAGCCCCCACUGCCUCUGUCUUGUGCCCUCACUGUCCACCUGCCUGGAGCCCCACCCUGAUGCCCCCCCCCCCCCGCCCCAUGUCCCCUGGGCUGUUGGCCUCCUAGUCUGCCACACUGGGUGGGGUGUGGAGGACAGAACUUUUUCUGAGGUUCCCGCCCCAGGACCAUCUCCCUGAGGCUGCUGGGCCCUGUUGGGCCAGAGCCAGUUCCCUGCCUUCUGCAGAAGGUCACAGGUCGUGUGCAGUGCCAAUCCUCCUGCUGUGUGAAGCUGGUGCUGUUGAGUCACUGCAGGUCUGUGUGGUGACUCGGGACAGCUCUGGCCACGUGGCCCCCCUCAGGGCUCCCCACUUCCCAUACGCCCAGGAAGAUGGCGGUCCGGCUCUCCACUUGGAGCAGGAGCUGCUGUGACCUCCCCAGCUGGGCCUGAGCCCCUGCCCUACCUUCCUGCUCACCAAUAAAGGCUGACCCUACUCUCCUG
Non-coding RNA from Sus scrofa (pig), 2210 nucleotides. NCBI's taxonomy places the organism in Eukaryota, Metazoa, Chordata, Mammalia, Artiodactyla, Suidae. The record is from RefSeq and is a predicted model, not a curated record.